RNAcentral lists this RNase P RNA (394 nucleotides) under Bacillus sp. UNCCL13. Its description in RNAcentral is "Bacterial RNase P class B". It matches the Rfam family "Bacterial RNase P class B". Rfam says of the family: Ribonuclease P (RNase P) is a ubiquitous endoribonuclease, found in archaea, bacteria and eukarya as well as chloroplasts and mitochondria. Its best characterised activity is the generation of mature 5'-ends of tRNAs by cleaving the 5'-leader elements of precursor-tRNAs. The record is from RNAcentral. Lineage: Bacteria; Bacillati; Bacillota; Bacilli; Caryophanales; Bacillaceae. RNAcentral also lists the same sequence under 1 other name.
ACGUUCGGGUAAUCGCUGCAAAAUUACUUUGUAAUUUGUAGAGGAAAGUCCAUGCUCGCACGGGCUGUGAUGCCCGUAGUGUUCGUGCCUGGCGAAAAGAUAAGCCAGGGCAGUCGGUAUGUCCGAUUGACGGCUGGGAAAAUACCUAAGUCCUUUAGGAUAUGGUAUGAAUACCUAUAAAAGUGCCACAGUGACGGAGCCUUUCCAGAAAUGGAAAGGGUGGAACGAGGUAAACCCCACGAGCGAGAAACCCAAAUAAUGGUAGGGGCACUUUCUUUCUGGAAACGAACGGGAAGAAGGACAGAUUCUUUGAAUCUGUAGAUAGAUGAUUACCACCUCAGUACGAGACCUUUGGUCGUUUGCAGUACUAUGGUACAGAACAUGGCUUACAGAA